GAUGAACGCUGGCGGCGUGCCUAAUACAUGCCAGUCGAGCGAACAGACGAGGAGCUUGCUCCUCUGACGUUAGCGGCGGACGGGUGAGUAACACGUGGAUAACCUACCUAUAAGACUGGGAUAACUUCGGGAAACCGGAGCUAAUACCGGAUAAUAUAUUGAACCGCAUGGUUCAAUAGUGAAAGACGGUUUUGCUGUCACUUAUAGAUGGAUCCGCGCCGCAUUAGCUAGUUGGUAAGGUAACGGCUUACCAAGGCAACGAUGCGUAGCCGACCUGAGAGGGUGAUCGGCCCCACUGGAACUGAGACACGGUCCAGACUCCUACGGGAGGCAGCAGUAGGGAAUCUUCCGCAAUGGGCGAAAGCCUGACGGAGCAACGCCGCGUGAGUGAUGAAGGUCUUCGGAUCGUAAAACUCUGUUAUUAGGGAAGAACAAAUGUGUAAGUAACUAUGCACGUCUUGACGGUACCUAAUCAGAAAGCCACGGCUAACUACGUG
Molecule: ribosomal RNA, 497 nt
Filed under: uncultured bacterium
Lineage: Bacteria
Description: partial 16S ribosomal RNA
Rfam family: Bacterial small subunit ribosomal RNA
Source: RNAcentral